This 479-nucleotide long non-coding RNA is filed under the name Sorghum bicolor (sorghum). Its description in RNAcentral is "long non-coding RNA (SBIC_LNC007485)". Lineage: Eukaryota; Viridiplantae; Streptophyta; Magnoliopsida; Poales; Poaceae. The record is from RNAcentral.
CACAAACGGGCCCACGUGUCAACGGCUCAUGUCAACCCCGCCACUUAUCCCCUCCCACUGGCUGGCCUCGCGCCCCUCCACAUCACAACGCCCAGCUGCUCCCGCUCCGUUGCCUCGCCGUGGCCGUGGCCGCCGCCUCCCUCCCGCUCCUCCGGCUACCGGAAACCAUGGUCAACUCCUGCCUCUCCACCGCCGCAGCGCACUCUGCGCUGCGCCUCCUGUCCGACGGCGCUGCCGGGGCGCAGCUCCAUCACGCGUCGUCAUCAGUGUUUCCGCGCCCGGCGCGCGCACCGCACCACCGGCUCGUCGCCGCGCCCGCGGUGGCAGUGCCCGGGCACUGGAGGCGCGCGCUCGCGGUCACAGUGAUGGCGUCGCGGGAGGAGGCCGCGGCCACGGCUGUCGAGGAGUUGGAGGAGGUCGCGGAGCGAGAGGAACAGUUACCAGAGCAAGACGAAGUUCAGGAUGGGGAAGGUGGAGCC